This 1046-nucleotide long non-coding RNA is filed under the name Coffea arabica (coffee). Its description in RNAcentral is "long non-coding RNA (CARA_LNC007328)". Lineage: Eukaryota; Viridiplantae; Streptophyta; Magnoliopsida; Gentianales; Rubiaceae. The record is from RNAcentral.
AUAGUGGUGAGCUAGGCGGAGCCGGUGGGGCCCACUACUAGCGAUCACGCGCGAAGCAAUCUUGUACUACUUUUGGUAUUUUGAGUAAGUAUUCAGGCCAGUUUGGUGUGUUUUCUUUGCUAUGUGUUUGAGAUAUGUGAAAAGGGCACUUAGGCGAGGGUGUACUUUAUCGCACUCGACCUAAACCCUAAUUUGAAUGUAUAAUUGUACUUGGCAUAUGUAUAUGAACCUUUUGGAACCAAAACCCUAGAGCUUGUGGCUCGGGGCGACUUUCGAAUAAAUUUUGUGAAGUUUGCAAAGUUUGUGAUUUUGAAUAAUUUUGUGAAGUUUGUGAGUUUGGGGCGAACUCUUGACCUGGUUGGACUAUUCGAGCCGGUUAGGGCUUGGUCGAAGGCAGUCCAACUUAGUCUGAGGUCACCAAGUUUGUAGGUUCAUGUUAUGAACCAAUUUUGUAAAUCCGGUUCACCGAGAAGGUGACCAAGUUUGUGACCCGAGCUUGUGACUCAAGCUCAAGUUUGUGAUUUCGUUCGCCCGGGCAAGUUUGUGAGGUGACUGGCCAGUGAGGGUGAAAAGGUGUCGGUGGGUGUACAAGUGAAGUUCUACGGACUAUUAUUUGCAGUCGACGGAGUGUCGGCAGGAGAUCACGCAUGGCACAUGAGUUGGCUUUGGAGCCACCUGUAUCCUUAUUAUGUGAUGUUACUUUUCUGCUUUUGCUUUACUCUUAUUGUGUAACUGUUACGUGAAAUUUAUGCUUUCGCCCCUGUUUACUUACUAAGCAUAUAGCUUACCCCAUUCCUUUUGUUUUCCUUAGCAGGGGCCGACGCGGGGACUUUUGGCUCGUAUACUAGUAUAGUAAGAUUGGCUUGUAAUAGUUGAACAGUUAGGAUGUUUGUUUUUGUUUUGGUGGUUUGACUCGAUACUUUUGGAGAAUGCAAUUAUAACUCUUUUUGGGAUUUGUAUAUAGUAUGUAAGGUACUCUUUUGGAUUUUCUAGUUUUUAUCGCUUUAAGGUUUGAGUCCUGGCGCGAGCUAGGCAGGCGGCCCGCC